This 316-nucleotide ribosomal RNA is filed under the name uncultured soil bacterium. RNAcentral's name for it is "bacterial SSU rRNA". It matches the Rfam family "Bacterial small subunit ribosomal RNA", at positions 26 to 365 of the family's 1533-position model. The record is from RNAcentral.
AGAACGAACGCUGGCGGCAUGCCUAAUACAUGCAAGUCGAACGAACACUUCGGUGUUAGUGGCGCACGGGUGCGUAACGCGUGGGAAUCUGCCCUUGGGUUCGGAAUAACAGUUGGAAACGACUGCUAAUACCGGAUGAUAUCGAAAGAUCAAAGAUUUAUCGCCCAGGGAUGAGCCCGCGUAGGAUUAGCUAGUUGGUGAGGUAAAGGCUCACCAAGGCGACGAUCCUUAGCUGGUCUGAGAGGAUGAGUCAGCCACACUGGGACUGAGACACGGCCCAGACCUCCGUACGGGAGGCGAGCCAGUAAGGGGAAUA